CGACCACGAGACCGAUAGCGAACAAGUACCGUGAGGGAAAGUUGAAAAGAACUUUGAAGAGAGAGUUCAAUAGUACGUGAAACCGUUCAGGGGUAAACGGAAAAGACCCGAAAGUUCGAAAGGGGAGAUUCACGCCCUCUCGCGCGUCCGGGUUCUCCCGCGGUGAGAUGGUCCCGUUCGCCCGCGCCGGUGCAAGCCGGCGCGGUGUCGUCCGGCGUCCACUCGACCCGCGGGUGUACCGCCCGGCCGCGGAGGACCGCACUUCUCCCCCGGUGGAGCGUCGCGACCCGUUGGGCGACGGUCUACGGCCCCGGAGGAAGACCGGCGGUCGUCUGGGCUUCGGCUCACGACGUCACCGCACGGGCCCCGGGCGUCCCGGCCUAAACGCCAGACGGUAUCGAACGCAGGUGCAGGACCGCCGAACCCUUUUUCGGGCGUCCAGGACUGGCGCAAGCGACGGGCGGCCCCCGGGACGACGGACCCAGCGUCCGCCGCCCGGACCGUCCCGCUGUUGGCGUUUCCAGUGACCUCGGACGGGCGUUCCGUAACACCGGUCCGCGACGCUUCAGCUUUGGGUACUUAUCCGGCCCGUCUUGAAACACGGACCAAGGAGUCUAACAUGUGCGCAAGUCAUUGGGUCUUUACUAAACCCAAAGGCGUAAUGAAAUUGAAGGCCGGGCCUCCUACCCGGCCCCCCCAAUACGAGGGAGGAUGGGCGCGUCUUGCCCACGUGGCGGCGCCCCGCACUCCCGGGGCGUCUCGUACUCAUCGCGAGUAGAGGCGCACCAAGAGCGUACACGUUGGGACCCGAAAGAUGGUGAACUAUGCCUGGCCAGGACGAAGUCAGGGGAAACCCUGAUGGAGGUCCGUAGCGAUUCUGACGUGCAAAUCGAUCGUCUAAGCUGGGUAUAGGGGCGAAAGACUAAUCGAACCAUCUAGUAGCUGGUUCCCUCCGAAGUUUCCCUCAGGAUAGCUGGUGCUCAGGGAACGAGUCUCAUGCGGUAAAGCGAAUGAUUAGAGGCAUUGGGGCCGAAACGGCCUCAACCUAUUCUCAAACUUUAAAUGGGUGAGAUCUCCGGCAUGCUUGGAUUUAACCAUGAAGCCGCGAGUAUCGGAUCCAGAGUAUCAAGUGGGCCAAUUUUGGUAAGCAGAACUGGCGCUGUGGGAUGAACCAAACGCCGAGUUAAGGCGCCCGAACGACGCUCAUGGGAAACCAUGAAAGGCGUUGGUUGCUUAAGACAGCAGGACGGUGGCCAUGGAAGUCGGAAUCCGCUAAGGAGUGUGUAACAACUCACCUGCCGAAGCAACUAGCCCUGAAAAUGGAUGGCGCUGUAGCGUCGUGCCUAUACUCGGCCGUCAACGGCACAGAGGACGGUCCCCUCGCGGGGUCCGGGCCCUUAAGCCUUGACGAGUAGGAGGGCGCGGCGGUGUGCGCAGAAGGGUCUGGGCGCGAGCCUGCCUGGAGCCGCCGUCGGUGCAGAUCUUGGUGGUAGUAGCAAUUACUCCAGCGAGGCCCUGGAGGACUGACGUGGAGAAGGGUUUCUUGUGAACAGCUGUUGCACAAGAGUCAGUCGAUCCUAAGCCCUAGGAGACAUCCAAUGUCGAUGGGUUGCCGUUAAGCUUCCGCCGGGCGCGCGGGGACUUCUUGUUCCCUCGACCCGCGGUCGAAGAAGGCGCCCUCCGGGCGAAAGGGAAUCCGGUUCCUAUUCCGGAACCCGGCAGCGGAACCGUUCACAUGCGGGCCCUCGCACGAGAGCU
Molecule: ribosomal RNA, 1758 nt
Filed under: Tettigarcta tomentosa (Tasmanian hairy cicada)
Lineage: Eukaryota; Metazoa; Arthropoda; Insecta; Hemiptera; Tettigarctidae
Description: eukaryotic LSU rRNA
Rfam family: Eukaryotic large subunit ribosomal RNA
Source: RNAcentral